Molecule: ribosomal RNA, 254 nt
Filed under: uncultured bacterium
Lineage: Bacteria
Description: partial 16S ribosomal RNA
Rfam family: Bacterial small subunit ribosomal RNA
Source: RNAcentral
UACGAAGGGGGCUAGCGUUGUUCGGAUUUACUGGGCGUAAAGCGCACGUAGGCGGAUUGUUAAGUGAGAGGUGAAAUCCCGGAGCUCAACUCCGGAACUGCCUUUCAUACUGGCAAUCUAGAGUCCGGAAGAGGUGAGUGGAACUCCUAGUGUAGAGGUGGAAUUCGUAGAUAUUAGGAAGAACACCAGUGGCGAAGGCGGCUCACUGGUCCGGUACUGACGCUGAGGUGCGAAAGCGUGGGGGAGCAAACAGG